AUUGAACGCUGGCGGAAUGCUUUACACAUGCAAGUCGAACGGUAGAGGGGGCAACCCCUCGAGAGUGGCGAACGGGUGAGUAAUAUAUCGGAACGUGCCCAGUCGUGGGGGAUAACGUAGCGAAAGCUACGCUAAUACCGCAUACGAUCUAAGGAUGAAAGCGGGGGAUCGCAAGACCUCGCGCGAUUGGCGCGGCCGAUAUCAGAUUAGGUAGUUGGUGGGGUAAAGGCUCCCCAAGCCAACGAUCUGUAGCUGGUCUGAGAGGACGACCAGCCACACUGGAACGACGACACGGUCCAGACUCCUACGGGAGGCAGCAGUGGGGAAUUCUGGACAAUGGACGCAAGUCUGAUCCAGCCAUUCCGCGUGCAGGAUGAAGGCCCUCGGGUUGUAAACUGCUUUUGUACGGAACGAAAAGGUCUCUCUUAAUACGGGGGGCUCAUGACGGUACCGUAAGAAUAAGCACCGGCUAACUACGUGCCAGCCGCCGCAGUAA
Molecule: ribosomal RNA, 496 nt
Filed under: uncultured bacterium
Lineage: Bacteria
Description: partial 16S ribosomal RNA
Rfam family: Bacterial small subunit ribosomal RNA
Source: RNAcentral